GAUGAACGCUAGCGGCAGGCUUAAUACAUGCAAGUCGAGGGGCAGCGCGGGUAGCAAUACCUGGCGGCGACCGGCAAACGGGUGCGGAACACGUACGCAACCUUCCCGAAACUGGUGAAUAGCCCUCCGAAAGGAGGAUUAAUACACCAUAACAUAGUGAAGCGGCAUCGCUUUAUUAUUAAAGUAGCAAUACGGUUUUGGAUGGGCGUGCGCCUGAUUAGAUAGUUGGCGGGGUAACGGCCCACCAAGUCUACGAUCAGUAACUGGUGUGAGAGCACGACCAGUCACACGGGCACUGAGACACGGGCCCGACUCCUACGGGAGGCAGCAGUAAGGAAUAUUGGUCAAUGGACGAAAGUCUGAACCAGCCAUGCCGCGUGAAGGAUGAAGGCCCUCUGGGUUGUAAACUUCUUUUAUAGGGGACGAAAAAAGGGAAUUCUUUCUCACUUGACGGUACCCUAGGAAUAAGCACCGGCUAACUCCGUG
Molecule: ribosomal RNA, 486 nt
Filed under: uncultured bacterium
Lineage: Bacteria
Description: bacterial SSU rRNA
Rfam family: Bacterial small subunit ribosomal RNA
Source: RNAcentral